Molecule: long non-coding RNA, 871 nt
Filed under: Ananas comosus (pineapple)
Lineage: Eukaryota; Viridiplantae; Streptophyta; Magnoliopsida; Poales; Bromeliaceae
Description: long non-coding RNA (ACOM_LNC015594)
Source: RNAcentral
UACUUUAUAAUUUAAAAUAGGCUAAAUUACAGAAAAUCCUCCUGUAAUAAUCUACUUUUUUAUUUUCCUCUCUGACAUUUAAAAACCUAUACUUUGCCCCCCUGUAAAAUAAAAAAUAUUCACAGGGGGGUUACGGUGUGUAAAAUGACCAUUUUGUCCCUCGCCAUUGUCGUCUUCUUUUCCAUCUUCCUCCCUCGCCGUCCUCGAUUUCGGCGACAGUGGGAGAAAACCGAGGUGGGCGACAGUAGGAGAAGGGCAAAGAAGGCGAAGGCGAGGCGGCGGAGGACGGCGAAGGGGAUGUGGGUGAGGGCGAGGCAGUGGAGGACGGCGAGGCGGCUAAGCAGCGAGGCGGCGGCGAGGUGGCGAGCCGGAGGGAGUCGAAGCAACAGGGAGAUGGCGGAGGGGCAUUUUCGGCAUAAAAAUAUAUUUUUUAACGGAACCCUAACGGAACCCUAACGGUAGGGAGUGAAGUGCACAUUUUUUAUUUUACAGGGAGGCAAAGUGUAGGUUUUUAAAUGUCAGGGAGGGAAAGUGAAAAAGCGGGUUAUUAAAAGAAGGUUUUCUAUAAUUUAGCCUUUACAGUAUAUUAUUUUUAUAUCAUGUGAUUUUAUUUUAUUUUUUUUAUUAUUCACUCCGUUAAAUUUUUUGUUAAAUUAGUGGCAAAGCUAAAACUAUAGAAAUACUAUAGUGAAAAUUCAGUAAAUUACAAAAAAUUAAAAUAAAUAUUUCAUAAAUUAUAGAUGAAGUAUCUGAAAUUUUUUAUAUAUAAUUUAACGAAGAGUUAACAUUUAUGAAAGAAAAAAAGUAAUACUAAAAAAUAUUAAAAUAAAAAAAUGCGAAACUAUAAAGGUGGUAUUUAAAGUUUACAUUU